UCCGGUUUGGCGCCGGCAGUCCCCCUAGAGUGCCCAACUGAAUGGUGGCAACUAAGGACAAGGGUUGCGCUCGUUGCGGGACUUAACCCAACACCUCACGACACGAGCUGACGACAGCCAUGCAGCAUCUGUGCAUGGGCUCCGAAGAGCGGCCCUGAUCUCUCAAGGCCUUCCCAUGCAUGUCAAGCCCUGGUAAGGUUCUUCGCGUUGCGUCGAAUUAAACCACAUGCUCCGCUGCUUGUGCGGGCCCCCGUCAAUUCCUUUGAGUUUUAGCCUUGCGGCCGUACUCCCCAGGCGGGGCGCUUAAUGCGUUAGCUUCGGCACGGACGGAGUCGACACCGCCCACACCUAGCGCCCAUCGUUUACGGCGUGGACUAC
RNAcentral lists this unclassified non-coding RNA (378 nucleotides) under uncultured bacterium. RNAcentral describes it as "contains 16S-23S intergenic spacer region". The record is from RNAcentral.